UUCGUCGGAUCUCGGGCGGAGCGGGCCCCACCCCCACACCCUCCCCACCUCCACUUGCUCCACGUCACCUCCCCCCGUCUCCUCCCCCGUUAUCUACCGCCUCCUCUCACCACCACCGCCUCCUCCUCCUCCUCCGCCUUCCGCCUCUCACCACCACGGCUUCCAGCUCUGGCCGUAGCAGCAGCAGCGCGCGCGCGGGUGCCUGUGCCCGCCGCUGCUCACGGCUCCUCGCCGCCGGCUUGUGCCUCCGAUACGGGGUGCGAGGGGGUCUGGAAACCGGCGGAUCUCGGCCGCUCGCCGCCGGAGUCCGGCACGGGUGGAGGAGCUGAGGCAUGCUUCGAGCGCUUCGUCCGUUCUGAUUUUUUUUUUAGCCCGACUGUUUGA
This 384-nucleotide long non-coding RNA is filed under the name Oryza sativa Indica Group (long-grained rice). Its description in RNAcentral is "lncRNA OsLiXu_03g0013120". The record is from RNAcentral. Lineage: Eukaryota; Viridiplantae; Streptophyta; Magnoliopsida; Poales; Poaceae.